GCGGACGUGGCGAAACUGGCAGACGCGCAAGGCUUAGGACCUUGUGGGCCUAAAGCCCUUGGAGGUUCGACUCCUCUCGUCCGCACCA
Molecule: transfer RNA, 88 nt
Filed under: bacterium
Lineage: Bacteria
Description: tRNA-Leu
Rfam family: tRNA
About the family: Transfer RNA (tRNA) molecules are approximately 80 nucleotides in length. Their secondary structure includes four short double-helical elements and three loops (D, anti-codon, and T loops).
Source: RNAcentral